This 96-nucleotide signal recognition particle RNA is filed under the name Actinomycetota bacterium. RNAcentral describes it as "signal recognition particle sRNA small type". It matches the Rfam family "Bacterial small signal recognition particle RNA". Rfam says of the family: The signal recognition particle (SRP) is a universally conserved ribonucleoprotein involved in the co-translational targeting of proteins to membranes. Archaeal SRP consists of a 7S RNA and homologues of the eukaryotic SRP19 and SRP54 proteins. The record is from RNAcentral. Lineage: Bacteria; Bacillati; Actinomycetota.
UGGGUGGGCUCGGGCGGCAGCACACCCCGAACCUGGUCAGGUCCGGGAGGAAGCAGCCAUAAGGGGUCCCUGUUGAGCGUCCGGGUCCACCCAGCG